GGGGUUGUGGCUCAGUGGCAGAGUGCUCACCUCACGCGUGCGAGACCCUGGGUUUGAUCCUCAGCACCACA
This 71-nucleotide transfer RNA is filed under the name Marmota monax (woodchuck). RNAcentral describes it as "tRNA.Val". Lineage: Eukaryota; Metazoa; Chordata; Mammalia; Rodentia; Sciuridae. The record is from RNAcentral.